This 470-nucleotide ribosomal RNA is filed under the name uncultured bacterium. RNAcentral's name for it is "bacterial SSU rRNA". It matches the Rfam family "Bacterial small subunit ribosomal RNA", at positions 28 to 507 of the family's 1533-position model. The record is from RNAcentral.
GAUGAACGCUAGCGGCAGGCCUAAUACAUGCAAGUCGAACGGUGUCUUCGGACAUAGUGGCGCACGGGUGCGUAACACGUAUGCAACCUACCUUACAUUGGGGGAUAGCCCAGAGAAAUUUGGAUUAAUGCCCCAUAGUAUAGUUUUUUCGCAUGAAGAGAUUAUUAAAGUUCCAACGGUAAAAGAUGAGCAUGCGUCCCAUUAGCUAGAUGGUAAGGUAACGGCUUACCAUGGCGACGAUGGGUAGGGGUCCUGAGAGGGAGAUCCCCCACACUGGUACUGAGACACGGACCAGACUCCUACGGGAGGCAGCAGUGAGGAAUAUUGGACAAUGGGCGCAAGCCUGAUCCAGCCAUGCCGCGUGCAGGAAGAAGCAUCUAUGGUGUGUAAACUGCUUUUGUACGGGAAGAAACACUCCUACGUGUAGGAGCUUGACGGUACCGUAAGAAUAAGGAUCGGCUAACUCCGUG